UUUCGCAAUGCCCGAAAGGGUGACGAAGCGACGCCGCGUGGGUGAGGAAGGCCUUCGGGUUGUAAAACCCUGUCAGGAGUUAAGAAAUGUAAGUGCGCUAAUAUCGCAUUUAUUUGACGAAGGCUCCAAAGGAAGCCACGGCUAACUCUGUGCCAGCAGCCGCGGUAAUACAGAGGUGGCAAGCGUUGUUCGGAAUUAUUGGGCGUAAAGAGCACGUAGGUGGGUUUGUAAGUCAGAUGUGAAAGCCUUCUGUUCAACGGAAGAACGGCAUCUGAAACUGCAGAUCUUGAGUAUAGGAGGGGAGAGUGGAACUUCUGGUGGAGCGGUGAAAUGCGUAGAUAUCAGGAGAAACGCCGGCGGCGAAGGCGACUCUCUAGUCGAUUCGAGACGCUGAGGUGCGAAAGCUAGGGGAGCAAACAGGAUUAGAUACCCUGGUAGUCCUAGCCGUAAACGAUGGGCACUAAGUAGAGGGGUUUUA
This 478-nucleotide ribosomal RNA is filed under the name uncultured bacterium. RNAcentral describes it as "bacterial SSU rRNA". It matches the Rfam family "Bacterial small subunit ribosomal RNA", at positions 364 to 833 of the family's 1533-position model. The record is from RNAcentral.